Molecule: ribosomal RNA, 275 nt
Filed under: uncultured bacterium
Lineage: Bacteria
Description: partial 16S ribosomal RNA
Rfam family: Bacterial small subunit ribosomal RNA
Source: RNAcentral
UACAAUGGCGUAAACAAAGGGAGGCGAAGGAGCAAUCCGGAGCGAACCCCAAAAAUAACGUCUCAGUUCGGACUGUGGUCUGCAACCCGACCACACGAAGCUGGAAUCGCUAGUAAUCGCGAAUCAGAAUGUCGCGGUGAAUACGUUCCCGGGUCUUGUACACACCGCCCGUCACACCAUGGGAGUCAGCAACGCCCGAAGUCAGUGACCUAACCGAAAGGAAGGAGCUGCCGAAGGCGGGGCCGGUAACUGGGGUGAAGUCGUAACAAGGUAUC